Molecule: unclassified non-coding RNA, 231 nt
Filed under: fungal sp.
Lineage: Eukaryota; Fungi
Description: partial internal transcribed spacer region
Rfam family: Eukaryotic small subunit ribosomal RNA (bases 1-47)
Source: RNAcentral
AAAGUCGUAACAAGGUUUCCGUAGGUGAACCUGCGGAAGGAUCAUUAACACGAAACUUUUUUACAAUUUUGUAAAAAAUGUUUUACAACUAAACCUGUGCUCUUUCUUUUUUUCACACCUUCAACCCUUUAAUUUUAAUAAUUUUUUUUUUUGUCCAAAGAACACAGUUUUUUGGUUACAACUUAAAUAAAGUUGAACAUACAACUGUUAACAAUGGAUAUCUAGGCUCUC